UCGGGAAUUUUGGGCAAUGGGGGAAACCCUGACCCAGCAACGCCGCGUGAAGGAUGAAGUAUUUCGGUAUGUAAACUUCGAAAGAAUAGGAAGAAUAAAUGACGGUACUAUUUAUAAGGUCCGGCUAACUACGUGCCAGCAGCCGCGGUAAUACGUAGGGACCAAGCGUUGUUCGGAUUUACUGGGCGUAAAGGGCGCGUAGGCGGCAUGACAAGUCACUUGUGAAAUCUCUGGGCUUAACCCAGAACGGCCAAGUGAUACUGUCGCGCUAGAGUGCAGAAGGGGCAAUCGGAAUUCUUGGUGUAGCGAUGAAAUGCGUAGAUAUCAGGAAGAACACCUGUGGCGAAGGCGGCUAGCUGGGGCCAGUUCUGACGCUCAUCCGCGAAAGUGUGGGGAGCAAACAGGAUUAGAUACCCCUGUAGUCCCUGAGCGGGCUGGCAAGGCGCAU
This 448-nucleotide ribosomal RNA is filed under the name uncultured bacterium. RNAcentral's name for it is "bacterial SSU rRNA". It matches the Rfam family "Bacterial small subunit ribosomal RNA", at positions 355 to 825 of the family's 1533-position model. The record is from RNAcentral.